CCUACGGGUGGCUGCAGUCGAGGAUCUUCGGCAAUGGGCGCAAGCCUGACCGAGCGACGCCGCGUGUGGGAUGAAGGCCUUCGGGUUGUAAACCACUGUCAGUGGGGAGGAAAUUCACGGGGGUUCUCCCCCGUGAUUGACUAAUCCGCAGAGGAAGGGUGGGCUAAGCUCGUGCCAGCAGCCGCGGUAAGACGAGCCACUCAAACGUUAUUCGGAAUUACUGGGCUUAAAGGGUGCGUAGGCGGUGUAGCAAGUCGGGAGUGAAAUACCUCAGCUCAACUGAGGAACUGCUCUCGAUACUGCUGCGCUUGAGUGAGACAGAGGUAAGCGGAACUUAGGGUGGAGCGGUGAAAUGCGUUGAUAUCCUAAGGAACACCGGUGGCGAAGGCGGCUUACUGGGUCUCUACUGACGCUGAGGCACGAAAGCUAGGGUAGCAAAC
RNAcentral lists this ribosomal RNA (440 nucleotides) under uncultured bacterium. Its description in RNAcentral is "bacterial SSU rRNA". It matches the Rfam family "Bacterial small subunit ribosomal RNA", at positions 338 to 773 of the family's 1533-position model. The record is from RNAcentral.